GAGGGUAUAGCUCAGUGGUGGAGUGUGUGCUUAGCAUGCACGAGGUCCUGGGUUCAAUCUUGAGUGCCUCCA
Molecule: transfer RNA, 72 nt
Filed under: Camelus bactrianus (Bactrian camel)
Lineage: Eukaryota; Metazoa; Chordata; Mammalia; Artiodactyla; Camelidae
Also listed under: 2 other names
Rfam family: tRNA
About the family: Transfer RNA (tRNA) molecules are approximately 80 nucleotides in length.
Source: Rfam by way of RNAcentral